Molecule: long non-coding RNA, 2323 nt
Filed under: Daucus carota (carrot)
Lineage: Eukaryota; Viridiplantae; Streptophyta; Magnoliopsida; Apiales; Apiaceae
Description: long non-coding RNA (DCAR_LNC000684)
Source: RNAcentral
GUUGGUCUAGUGUAUAGUAGGUGUGGUAGGCUAGGCCUCUUAGCAGAUCACUGGCUUUGUCGAAGCCUGCAAAAGGAUUGCUGAUUCGAUUAAAAGUUCUAUCAACUCGAGGAUAUCUAGAACUUGAAGAUUGUUUUGUACACCUUUCUUCAGAUUAUCACUGUUGCUUAAUAUCUGUAUUUUAUGAUUUUUUUGGGGUCUUGUUAAUGGGGUUGGGUAUUAUAUGUUAGCUUGUAGUCAUGGUUUAAGAACAUAUUUAGUUGCCACAGACUAUAUUAUACAUAACAAUGGCGAGACGGAUCCUUGAGGAGGUUUUAUGUUUUGAGGAACUAAAAUUAUACAAGUAUACAAGUAAUCUCUGUACUAGAUUGUUUACUAAGGCUGCAUGUACUACUGUUUGAUUGUAAAUGUUGAUAGUAAUUUCACUUUUCUUGCUAUGACAGAGACAAGAAAUUAAGAUGUUCAAUCUUAAAAUGACAACCUGCAAACAUUUUUUUUUUUAAAAAGAAAAAUUUUCUGAGAGGAAUAUCUGUAAGUACUUAAAAAUAUAUUGUGAGAGUGGCACAAUGUGCAUUCUGUAGACAUAGCCCAGUGGGACUUAGUGGAGAUGUACAGUUCGUAUAUCAAACUUCUUUUUGGCUUUUAUUAUUUUCCUUAAAGAACCCCUCCCGUUUAUGUUUAUUUUAAAAUCCUUAAACUGCAUAUGACACGAGGUGUUUGUACUUCCAUGCAAGCUGUGAGCCCAGGCAGUGAGGACUAAUCAUUUUGUAAGUUGGUUGUUUGUCCCGCGUCUGUGCCCGAAAAUAGCCACAGAAGUCUUGAGGGUUAUAAGCUGCCAUCUACUCAAGUACCAUUUUCAGAUAGAUUACAGGGUAAUUAACAGGAAGUGCGGACUGUCUCCCUCUCUGAAGCUAUCUCAAAACUUUCAUGCUAGAAUUUCCUUAUCUAUUCCCUUAGCCCUAGUAAUUUAUUUUUUACACUUCGGUUCUUCUCAAGUAUUAAUAGCAGUAUUGUAAUUAAUAAUGAAGUUUCCAGAAGCUUUGUAUAAGAAGUGACUAGUGAGUGAGGAAAUGGAUUGCUCUACUUCUGAAGGCAGGUAGAUUCACCAAAUGUAAGAGAGUGAUAGCCAGGAGUGGUUUAUUUAUAAAUUAACAAGUCUUUUAUGUAGGUCUUACUAGUGAGGAAAUUGGUGGUGAUCUAGAUUCACCAAAUAUAAGAGAGUAAUGGCCAGGAGUUUUUUAUUUAGAAAUUAACAAGUCUUUUAUUUAGGUCUUACUAGUGAGGAAAUUGGUGGUGAUCUGUGGUAAUCGAAAAGUCCAGUAACUAUAUUCUUAUAGAAGACCUUACUUUUCACCCGAGUUAUAAUAUUCAUACAAGUUCCUGUAGAGAGUGUAAGGUCUUUCUAAAGCAGCAGAAGCUGUGUAGAGGUUAUGGCUGUGACUUGGACUCCUAGAGAGUUCUCUUUCCUUUCGUAAUUUAUAUAAUAAUGUUACAUAAUGAGCUGAGGGGCAAUAUGACCUUAUAAAGGUUAUCACACCCUCGUGUUUUGUAGCGAUAUUUCUCAAUUCCCAUGAAGCAUUUAUUUUUCUAUGCACAAUUUGUAGCCUCUCUGUUACAAUAGUAUUAACGAAUUAGCAUAAGUGCCAAGCUGGAUAGGCCUGGUCCUGGGUUCGGCAUACACAGCCAAUGUAAGUUGUAAGGCGUUAGUGUAAGUACAUUAUAUAAGGAAAGAGAACUUUUAAAGAAAUCAAACUACAUAUUUUGUACUUGUCUGUGAAAAAGUCUACAACUAUCUUAUAUUUCAUGUACUGAUACGAAAANAAACUACAUAUUUUGUACUUGUCUGUGAAAAAGUCUACAACUAUCUUAUAUUUCAUGUACUGAUACGAAACCCAGCCACAACGUAAUAUUUCUCAUUUCCGAGUAUUUUACUAUUUUAAGGAAAUAAUCACAAUUUGUAACACUGGCAAAAAAGUAUCAUGUAAAGCAGUAUUUAUUCCUAAAUUUCACCUUCAGGCAACCUUGCGCAAGGAGAUUCCCGUGAAGCAUUUAUUUUUUCUAUGCACAAUUUGUAGCCUCUCUGUUACAAUAGUAUUAACGAAUUAGCAUAAGUGCCAAGCUGGAUAGGCUUGGUCCUGGGUUCGGCAUACACAGCCAAUGUAAGUUGUAAGGCGUUAGUGUAAGUACAUUAUAUAAGGAAAGAGAACUUCUGAAGAAAUCAAACUACAUACUUUGUACUUGUCUGUGAAAAAGUCUACAACUAUCUUAUAUUUCAUGUACUGAUACGAAAACCAGCCACAACGUAAUAUUUCUCAUUUCUGAG